Molecule: small nucleolar RNA, 143 nt
Filed under: Drosophila grimshawi
Lineage: Eukaryota; Metazoa; Arthropoda; Insecta; Diptera; Drosophilidae
Description: snoRNA:GH25820
Source: RNAcentral
UUUGCCCCCGGUUGAGUACGGAAAUAUGUGUAAGAUUUCUUUAACAAUUUCCUUAAUAAAGGGUGGCCAAAGCAAAUGUUGCCAGCUGGCGAGCCUUUGUCAUUUAUUAAUUAAAUGACGCACAGCCAGCGGCAGCGACAGCU